Molecule: ribosomal RNA, 345 nt
Filed under: Monobia quadridens
Lineage: Eukaryota; Metazoa; Arthropoda; Insecta; Hymenoptera; Vespidae
Description: partial 12S ribosomal RNA
Source: RNAcentral
AAUAAAACAAAGAAUUAAGUGUUAAAGUAUUAAAUGUUAAAUCAUUAAAUUUAUAAGAUUUGGCGGUAUUUCAUACAAAUUAGGGGAACUUGUUGAGUAAUUGAUAUUCCACGAUAAGAGUUACUUAACUUAAUUGCUUAUGUAUUGCUGUUUUUAGAUAUAUUUUAAAAAUAUAAUUUUAAUUUAAAUUUAUAAAAUAAUUCAAGUCAAAAUAUAGUUUAGUUAAGAUUAAAUGAGUUACAAUAAUUUUAAAUUAAAUGAAUUUUUAUAUUUAAUUAAAAAUGAAGGUGGACUUAAUAGUAAAAUUAAUGAAUUAAUUAAUUUGAAUAGUGUGUUGAUUUAUGU